AAAUGUUUGUGUGUGUCUAUCUCUCCCCUUUACUACACAUGCGCACCCUCCCCUCUGCAGGCUGCCCUGCCAGAGCCCCUCCUCUGCCUGGAAGAGCGGAGUCAAAAUAGUGAGCCCCUGCUUUGUGAAGGAAAUUUUCUUUCACUGCCUGGCUCAGAGGUGCCUUUGAGAGGAGAACUGAUGUGGUUUUGUCAGCUUGUGGGCUGAGGAGGUGAUUUUGAUGGCCAUGGGGCUGCACACCGUCAUUUUGCUCUGUGGUGUUGUGGCAGGAGCUUCAGGGAGAUCCUUGGAGAGUUUAAGUUACGGAGCUUCCUGUUUUGCAGACUGUGUAGGACACAGUGCAUCGUACUCCCCCAAAAGAGCUAGGUACAGCUACAAGUAUUCAGCAGUCACAAACACUUUCCUGCAGGGAAGUAUUUACAAAAGCAGUGGCAUCUCUCUGGAGAGCACAGUGAUCAUUGAGGUACUGGGGAAUUGCCAGAUGGUUUUGAAAGUGCAAGAUGUACAGAUUAAGAAAAGUUUUGCAUCCAGAGAGGAGCCUCUGAAGGAAAUGGACAGUCUAAGGAAAAUACUAGAACAGCAUCCUCUUCGUUUUUCUUUCCAUGAUGGGAAAGUUCUGAAGCUCUGUCCUGUGAGGAGUGAACAGACCUGGGCACUGAACAUAAAGCGAGGCAUUCUCAGUGUCCUGCAGACGUCACAAGCAUCCACUGCUAGUGCAGUCAUUGAAGAGGUGGAUGUUCUGGGAAUAUGCCCAACCAGGUAUCAGCGAAAAGGUCCUGUUCUUGUCAAGACAAGGGACUUAAACCUCUGCUCUCAUCGGUAUUCUGGUUUUACUUCUGUGCAGUCUGUUGUUCUACCUCAUAUGUCAUCUGAGCAGCAGAUCCUGUCCUCCACACUGGAAUGUGUUCAGAGCAUUAAGGCUGGAGUCCUGGCAGAGGCCAAAUGUGCUGAGUCCAAUGUUGUUACAGUGUUCUCUCAGAAGGGCAGUGAGGCAAAGACGCAGACACAGUGUUUGCUGAAACUCCUACAAGUGGAAACAGAGACACUGUACAAAAAAGUGGACUCCGAGGAUCUGUAUGUGACCAGCAUGCUCUAUGAAAGGGAAGAAACUGAGAGGGAAGUCACUGGAGGAGAACUGACUGAACUAGUGUGGAAACUUUGCUUAGCACAUAGUGUGAGUUUUGAGACUGCAGAUCUUUUCCUGACUCUCGUGUUUGAGCUUCGACGUCUUUCUCUUGAGGCCUUAAAAGCGCUAUGGCAAAGAUCUUCAUUUAAAUGCAGAGACAACUGGUAAGGGCCCUUUAGGAAUUGCAUUAAAAAUAUAUAUAGAGAGGAAAGAAAUGUAAGUAUUUAAA
This 1355-nucleotide long non-coding RNA is filed under the name Accipiter nisus (Eurasian sparrowhawk). RNAcentral's name for it is "lncRNA (ENSANIG00000001080.1)". The record is from RNAcentral. Lineage: Eukaryota; Metazoa; Chordata; Aves; Accipitriformes; Accipitridae.